This 483-nucleotide ribosomal RNA is filed under the name Otostigmus scaber. RNAcentral describes it as "partial 16S small subunit ribosomal RNA". It matches the Rfam family "Bacterial large subunit ribosomal RNA", at positions 1829 to 2600 of the family's 2925-position model. Lineage: Eukaryota; Metazoa; Arthropoda; Chilopoda; Scolopendromorpha; Scolopendridae. The record is from RNAcentral.
GUCCUUUUGAUUUUAAUAAAAGGUCUAGCCUGCUCAAUGAAGUUAAAUAGCCGCGGUAUUUUGACCGUGCGAAGGUAGCAUAAUAAAUAGUCUAUUAAAUGUGGUCUGGAAUGAAGGGUUGAACGGAGGGUAGCUUUUUUAAUUUUAAUAAUGAAUUUAAAUAAUUAGUAAAAAUGCUAAUAUGAAUUAGAGGGACGAGAAGACCCUAUAGAGUUUUAUAUUUGUCUUUGUUUAUGUGGAAUUGUGCAGAAGAUAAUAUUUUGUUGGGGCGACAUAUAAUGUAAACAUUAUAAGGAUAUUCUGUGUAAUAGGUUGAAGAUCCAUUAUUAAUGAUUAAUAGAUUAAGUUACCUUAGGGAUAACAGCGUAAUUUUAUUAUAGAGUUCUUAUCGAUAAUGAAGUUUGCGACCUCGAUGUUGGAUUAGAAUUCCCUUAAGGCGUAGGAGUUUUAUGGGGUAGUCUGUUCGACUAUUAAAAUUCUACA